RNA transcript from Oncorhynchus gorbuscha (pink salmon), 2029 nucleotides. It is a transcript of the gene named putative nuclease HARBI1, with no coding region annotated. Lineage: Eukaryota; Metazoa; Chordata; Actinopteri; Salmoniformes; Salmonidae. The transcript has 9 exons. The record is from RefSeq and is a predicted model, not a curated record.
UGUGUGUGUGUGUAGAUUAAACAUGAACGGGCCAAAACGGACAUGGCAGCAGGUCAAAAUCAAAUACAAGAACAUUCUGCAGAAUGGUAUGGUCCCUGACUAAUAUUUAACAAAGCACAAGCAUAUAUUGUACCCAGAAGGUGCCUGCUCACACAUUGUCUGUACUGUUUUAGCAGUGAAAAAGAAUACCCACAGACAAGGCACGGGUGGUGGGUCACCAAAGGCUGACCUUACCCCAGCAGAGGACAUCGCCUUGGAGCUAAAUAAAGGCAGGCCCGUCUUAGAGGGGAUCCCUGGGGGGAAAGAGACGAGCAUAGGUUCCUCCCAAGAUGCCACCCGCUUCAUUCAAGUGUCUGACAGCACUGUGUUCCUGUUAGAGCCACCAGCACAAGCACCAGACGAUGCUGAUCCAGGUGAAGGCCCCAGUGCAGCAGCAACAGCACAUGAUGGAGACGAUGAUGAUGAGGAGGAGACCAUCUCUCUGGAUUCCAGAAGGCAUGAGGUAUCAUGGACCCAGAUGCUAUACAGUGGGAAAACCAGCCUGGCAACAUAGUGCGUAUUAAUAAAAGGACACCACAUCCUGCCAAAUUCCAGCUGCGCUAAUUGUAUUGUGUUCACAAGCUAUCAGAAAUUUGUAUGGCAACCACCUCCGGCGCCAAAUAGAACUGGCAGACAUAGACAUUCAGUACAAGAAGAAAAAGAUGGAAAAUCUUGCACUGGAGUCUGAAAUAAAAAAGAGGACAAUUAGGAAACUGGACCUUGAAAUAAAAAAACUUGAGAGGGAGCUCCAAGAAGAUGACACAGCUCAAAAUAAAAAUUAGCAAUCAGUACAACCAAGUCAUCGUUAUAAGGCAUCGCCCUCUUUUGCCCACCCCCCCAGCACCAGGUGUGGCCACUAGCCUAUAUGAAGGCCCAAAAUUGUGUGUUUCUUUCUGCUCUGACAAUGGCAUGCCCAUUUGUGCGAGAUGUGGUGGAUGAAGAAGCACUUGUGCUGAGGAGAGCCUUCAGGCGAGAAAGGGUCUUCAGGGACCGGUUGGACCCACUGGCCUUCCCUGACGACCAUCUAUAUGAAAGAUACAGGUUUUCUGCAGAUGGCAUCAGGUAUCUAUGCAGACUACUGGGUCCCAGGAUUAAGCACCGCACUGCACGGAGCCAUGCACUGAGUGUGGAGCAAAUGGUUUGUGUGGCCUUGCGCUUUUUUGCUAGUGGAGCCUUCCUGUACUCAGUGGGGGAUGCAGAACAGCUGAACAAGGCCACAAUUUGCCGCACAAUAAGGAGUGUGUGUCUGGCUAUCAAAGCAUUAGCAGAUGUCUUCAUCUCCUUCCCUGGCCACAGAAGACUCUGUGACAUCAAAGAGGAGUUCUAUAGGAUUGCAGGUUUCCCCAAUGUCAUUGGUGCAGUGGACUGCACACACAUAAGGAUAAAAGCCCCUCAGGUGCCCAUGAGGCCGAUUUUGUGAAUAGGAAAUCCUUUCACAGCAUUAAUGUUCAGAUGGUCUGCAAUGCUGACUGUGUGAUCAGCAAUGUUGUGGCAAAAUGGCCUGGCUCAGUCCAUGACUCCAGAAUCUUUCGGGCCUCUGAAAUCUAUCAGUGCCUAUCACAAGGUGAAUUCUCUGGUGUGUUGCUGGGAGACAGGGGGUAUGGCUGCCAGCCUUUUCUCCUGACACCUUUCACAGACCCCCAGGAAGCACAGCAGGCCUACAACCAUGCCCAUGCCAGGACCAGGGCCAGAGUUGAAAUGACCUUUGGCCUCCUGAAGGCACGCUUUCACUGCCUUCACAAAUUAAGGGUCAGCCCUGUUAGGGCAUGUGAUAUUACUGUGGCUUGUGCUGUCCUCCACAAUGUGGCCUGCCUGAGGAAGGAGAGGGCCCCCAGAGUGCCACCAGCCAUGGACUGGGACAAUCCGGCAAUCUUCCCUGAUGACGACAGUGGUCGGCUGCUGAGGGACCAAUAUGUGUUGAAUUAUUUUAGUUAGUAUGUGUGCUUUCAAUUUUGGUUAAAUAUGUCCUGCGGUGGCAGAGGAAUUUGGU